RNAcentral lists this ribosomal RNA (322 nucleotides) under Anaplasma platys. Its description in RNAcentral is "bacterial SSU rRNA". It matches the Rfam family "Bacterial small subunit ribosomal RNA", at positions 127 to 483 of the family's 1533-position model. Lineage: Bacteria; Pseudomonadati; Pseudomonadota; Alphaproteobacteria; Rickettsiales; Anaplasmataceae. The record is from RNAcentral.
UACCUAGUAGUAUGGGAUAGCCACUAGAAAUGGUGGGUAAUACUGUAUAAUCCCUGCGGGGGAAAGAUUUAUCGCUAUUAGAUGAGCCUAUGUUAGAUUAGCUAGUUGGUAGGGUAAAGGCCUACCAAGGCAGUGAUCUAUAGCUGGUCUGAGAGGAUGAUCAGCCACACUGGAACUGAGAUACGGUCCAGACUCCUACGGGAGGCAGCAGUGGGGAAUAUUGGACAAUGGGCGCAAGCCUGAUCCAGCUAUGCCGCGUGAGUGAGGAAGGCCUUAGGGUUGUAAAACUCUUUCAGUGGGGAAGAUAAUGACGGUACCCACA